RNAcentral lists this ribosomal RNA (493 nucleotides) under uncultured bacterium. Its description in RNAcentral is "partial 16S ribosomal RNA". It matches the Rfam family "Bacterial small subunit ribosomal RNA", at positions 28 to 506 of the family's 1533-position model. The record is from RNAcentral.
GACGAACGCUGGCGGCGUGCUUAACACAUGCAAGUCGAACGGUGAAGCGCCUUCCUUUUUGGUGGGUGUGGAUGAGUGGCGAACGGGUGAGUAACACGUGAGUAACCUGCCCCCUUCUUCUGGAUAACCGCAUGAAAGUGUGGCUAAUACGGGAUAUUCUGGGUCUGUCGCAUGAUGGGUCUGGGAAAGAUAUUGUUUCGGUGGGGGAUGGGCUCGCGGCCUAUCAGCUUGUUGGUGGGGUGAUGGCCUACCAAGGCGGUGACGGGUAGCCGGCCUGAGAGGGGGGAGGGGCCCACGGGGACUGGGACCCGGCCCAGGCCCCAACGGGGGGGAGCAGUGGGGAAUUUUGCACAAGGGGGGGAGGCCUGAUGCAGCGACGCCGGGGGGGGGGUGGGGGCCUUCGGGUUGGAAACCUCUUUCGCCAGUGAAGCAGGCCUGCCUCGUUUGUGGGUGGGUUGACGGUAGCGGGAUAAGAAGCCCCGGCUAACUACGU